AUUGAACGCAGGCGGAAUGCUUUACACAUGCAAGUCGAACGGCAGCACGGACUUCGGUCUGGUGGCGAGUGGCGAACGGGUGAGUAAUGUAUCGGAACGUGCCCAGUCGUGGGGGAUAACGUAGUGAAAAUUACGCUAAUACCGCAUACGAUCUAUGGAUGAAAGCGGGGGAUCGCAAGACCUUGCGCGAUUGGAGCGGCCGAUAUCAGAUUAGGUAGUUGGUGGGGUAAAGGCCCACCAAGCCAACGAUCUGUAGCUGGUCUGAGAGGACGACCAGCCACACUGGAACUGAGACACGGUCCAGACUCCUACGGGAGGCAGCAGUGGGGAAUUUUGGACAAUGGGCGAAAGCCUGAUCCAGCCAUUCCGCGUGCAGGAUGAAGGCCCUCGGGUUGUAAACUGCUUUUGUACAGAACGAAAAGGUUUCUACUAAUACUAGGAGCUCAUGACGGUACUGUAAGAAUAAGCACCGGCUAACUACGUGCCAGCAGCCGCUGUAA
Molecule: ribosomal RNA, 500 nt
Filed under: uncultured bacterium
Lineage: Bacteria
Description: partial 16S ribosomal RNA
Rfam family: Bacterial small subunit ribosomal RNA
Source: RNAcentral